GGUUGGCUAGUGUAAUGGUUAUCACAGCGGAUUCUGAUUCCGCUAAUCUGGGUUCGAUUCCCAGGCCGACCU
Molecule: non-coding RNA, 72 nt
Organism: Durotheca rogersii
Lineage: Eukaryota; Fungi; Ascomycota; Sordariomycetes; Xylariales; Xylariaceae
Source: the annotation of a RefSeq genome assembly